RNAcentral lists this ribosomal RNA (502 nucleotides) under uncultured bacterium. RNAcentral's name for it is "bacterial SSU rRNA". It matches the Rfam family "Bacterial small subunit ribosomal RNA", at positions 28 to 524 of the family's 1533-position model. The record is from RNAcentral.
GAUGAACGCUAGCGGCAGGCCUAAUACAUGCAAGUCGAACGGUAAGGCCCUUUCGGGGUACACGAGUGGCGGACGGGUGCGUAACGCGUAUGCAACAUACCUUCAAGCGGGGGAUAUGCCAGGGAAACUUGGUGCAACACCCCAUAGCAUUUCGGGACCGCAUGGUCUUGGGAUUAAAUAUUUAUAGCUUGGAGAUUGGCAUGCGUGACAUUAGCUAGUUGGCGGGGUAACGGCCCACCAAGGCGACGAUGUCUAGCUGGUCUGAGAGGAUGAUCAGCCACACUGGGACUGAGACACGGCCCAGACUCCUACGGGAGGCAGCAGUAGGGAAUAUUGGACAAUGGGGGGAACCCUGAUCCAGCCAUGCCGCGUGAGGGAAGAAGGUCCUCUGGAUUGUAAAGCUCUUUCGGCCGGGAAGAAAUCGCAUGGGUUAAUACCCUGUGUGGAUGACGGUACCGGAAUAAGAAGCACCGGCUAACUACGUGCCAGCAGCCGCGGUAAU